Molecule: ribosomal RNA, 320 nt
Filed under: Salmonella enterica
Lineage: Bacteria; Pseudomonadati; Pseudomonadota; Gammaproteobacteria; Enterobacterales; Enterobacteriaceae
Also listed under: 3 other names
Description: bacterial SSU rRNA
Rfam family: Bacterial small subunit ribosomal RNA
Source: RNAcentral
GUAGAGGGGGGUAGAAUUCCAGGUGUAGCGGUGAAAUGCGUAGAGAUCUGGAGGAAUACCGGUGGCGAAGGCGGCCCCCUGGACAAAGACUGACGCUCAGGUGCGAAAGCGUGGGGAGCAAACAGGAUUAGAUACCCUGGUAGUCCACGCCGUAAACGAUGUCUACUUGGAGGUUGUGCCCUUGAGGCGUGGCUUCCGGAGCUAACGCGUUAAGUAGACCGCCUGGGGAGUACGGCCGCAAGGUUAAAACUCAAAUGAAUUGACGGGGGCCCGCACAAGCGGUGGAGCAUGUGGUUUAAUUCGAUGCAACGCGAAGAACC